GUGGGCUUAUGGGCCCUGGGCGGUUGAAAGAAAGCGUUAUGGCCUUUCCUCCCCCAAAUCCGAAUGGGCUCGCCGGCGGCGAGCUCGGCCACUCCGGCUCCGGCGACCGAGCCUCCCCUCCCCAUCUCUCUCCAGCAUACAUAGUCUCCGUGCCCCCCAGCCCCUCCCCUCUCCUUUCCACCACCGGACGGCAAAGGCGCGCGCUCGGCGGCGCACCGUCGGUCAGUCGCCAGACUCCUUCCACCGGCUAUCGAAAGGGUUGUCUCUGCGGUGGCGCAUGCUGGUGGGCGGCGAGCUGGCUGGUUGGCUCCGAUCCGGUUGGGCGGUGGGGUUUGGAGUUGGGAGAAAUCCUUGCCGGGUCUUUCGGCUACGAUGCGGUGACGCCUGCGGGUGCCACCAUUCCUCCCUGGAGGGUGUCGGUGGUCUUCAUUCCCCUCUAUCCUCCGCGUGCCGCGGGAAACCCUAGGACACGUCCGGGCAGCAGCGUCGUCGGCGUUGCAUUCCUUCCUGGGGGUGCUGCUUGGUACGCGGAGGAUCGGAGCCUAGGAUCGUGGUGGGUAGAUUUCGGAGGGCGCAGCGGUACUGGGUCAUCCGCGCUUUGUCGAGCUGCAGGUGUUGGCCUUGUUUCUUCUUCUUUUUCUUUGGCUUGUUGUGUUGCUCGCCCCAGCGUUUGCUCUGUGCUCGGUGUUGGUGCUUUGGAAUACAAAGCGGGGGGAAACCCUUUUUCGGUAAAGGGUUGGGCUUUGGUUUCCGCAUGGGCUAUAUAUCGUUAGGUGUCCCUGAUUGGAGGUUGGUUUCCGACUCACUUUACCCUUCAGUUUGAAGAAAUACUUGUGUGAAUGUCAGGUGUAAUUUGGUUUCCCACUAUUGGUUAAGGAAUGCUAAUAAUGAAAUAACUGAUAGAGCUGCUAAUGGAUUUCAUGUCC
Molecule: ribosomal RNA, 926 nt
Filed under: Triticum aestivum (bread wheat)
Lineage: Eukaryota; Viridiplantae; Streptophyta; Magnoliopsida; Poales; Poaceae
Description: partial small subunit ribosomal RNA
Source: RNAcentral